GACGAACGCUGGCGGCGUGCCUAAUACAUGCAAGUAGAACGCAGUUUCUAACGUGUGAUUAACGCGUAGUUAACUGCCUGGUAGCGGGUUAUAACUAUUGGAAACGAUACCUAAUACCGCAUACUACCAGAUGGACCUGCGUUGUAUUAGCUAGUUGGUGAGGUAACGGCUCACCAAGGCAACGAUACAUAGCCGACGUGGGAGGGUGGUCGGCCACACUGGGACUUGGACACGGCCCAGACUCCUACGGGAGGCAGCAGUAGGGAAUCUUCGGCAAUGGGGGGAACCCUGACCGAGCAACGCCGCGUGAGUGAAGAAGGUUUUCGGAUCGUAAAGCUCUGUUGUUAAGGAAGCGGUACUUAAAGAGAAAGGGACGGCUAACUACGUGCCAGCAGCCGCGGUAAUUG
RNAcentral lists this ribosomal RNA (407 nucleotides) under uncultured bacterium. RNAcentral describes it as "partial 16S ribosomal RNA". It matches the Rfam family "Bacterial small subunit ribosomal RNA", at positions 28 to 527 of the family's 1533-position model. The record is from RNAcentral.